CCUACGGGAGGCUGCAGUGGGGAAUAUUGCGCAAUGGGCGAAAGCCUGACGCAGCGACGCCGCGUGAGGGAUGAAGGUCUUCGGAUCGUAAACCUCUGUCAGCAGGGAAGAACGGUCACUGUGCUAAUCAGCAGUGAAUUGACGGUACCUGCAAAGGAGGCACCGGCCAACUCCGGGCCAGCAGCCGCGGUAAUACUGAGGGUGGGAGCGUUAGUCGGAAUUACUGGGCGUAAAGCGCGCGUAGGCGGUAUGUCAAGUCAAUGGUGAAAUCCACGCGUUCAACGUGGGAGCUGCCUUUGAAACUGGCAAACUUGAGUGUGUGAGAGGAUAGUGGAAUUCCAGGUGUAGGAGUGAAAUCCGUAGAUAUCUGGAGGAACAUCAGUGGCGAAGGCGACUAUCUGGCACAUAACUGACGCUGAGGAGCGAAAGCGUGGGUAGCAAACAGGAUUAGAUACCCUUGUAGUC
This 465-nucleotide ribosomal RNA is filed under the name uncultured bacterium. RNAcentral describes it as "partial 16S ribosomal RNA". It matches the Rfam family "Bacterial small subunit ribosomal RNA", at positions 338 to 795 of the family's 1533-position model. The record is from RNAcentral.